RNAcentral lists this ribosomal RNA (656 nucleotides) under PAH-contaminated sludge fungus PF-37. RNAcentral describes it as "SSU rRNA". It matches the Rfam family "Eukaryotic small subunit ribosomal RNA", at positions 300 to 960 of the family's 1831-position model. The record is from RNAcentral. Lineage: Eukaryota; Fungi; Ascomycota; Leotiomycetes.
CAAAUUUCUGCCCUAUCAACUUUCGAUUGUAAGGUCUUGGCUUACAAUGGUUUCAACGGGUAACGGGGAAUUAGGGUUCGAUUCCGGAGAGGGAGCCUGAGAAACGGCUACCACAUCCAAGGAAGGCAGCAGGCGCGCAAAUUACCCAAUCCCGACACGGGGAGGUAGUGACAAGAAAUACUGAUACAGGGCUCUUUUGGGUCUUGUAAUUGGAAUGAGUACAAUUUAAAUCCCUUAACGAGGAACAAUUGGAGGGCAAGUCUGGUGCCAGCAGCCGCGGUAAUUCCAGCUCCAAUAGCGUAUAUUAAAGUUGUUGCAGUUAAAAAGCUCGUAGUUGAACCUUGGGCCUGGCUGGCCGGUCCGCCUCACCGCGUGCACUGGUCCGGCCGGGCCUUUCCUUCUGGGGAGCCGCAUGCCCUUCACUGGGUGUGUCGGGGAACCAGGACUUUUACUUUGAAAAAAUUAGAGUGUUCAAAGCAGGCCUAUGCUCGAAUACAUUAGCAUGGAAUAAUAGAAUAGGACGUGUGGGUUCUAUUUUGUUGGUUUCUAGGACCGCCGUAAUGAUUAAUAGGGAUAGUCGGGGGCAUCAGUAUUCAAUUGUCAGAGGUGAAAUUCUUGGAUUUAUUGAAGACUAACUACUGCGAAAGCAUUUGCCA